AGGACGAACGCUGGCGGCGUGCUUCACACAUGCAAGUCGAACGGGGCUCAUUCGGUGGUAACACCGGAGAAGGCCUAGUGGCGAACGGGUGCGUAACACGUGAAGAACCUGCCCCGAAGACUGGGAUAACAGCGGGAAACCGCUGCUAAUACCGGAUGACCCCACCAGGCCGCAUGGCCAGGUGAGGAAAUGGGCCUACCGCUUCGGGAGGGCUUCGCGGCCUAUCAGCUUGUUGGUGGGGUAACGGCCUACCAAGGCUACGACGGGUAGCUGGUCUGAGAGGACGACCAGCCACACUGGGACUGAGACACGGCCCAGACUCCUACGGGAGGCAGCAGUGGGGAAUCUUGCGCAAUGGGCGAAAGCCUGACGCAGCAACGCCGCGUGAGGGAUGAAGGUCUUCGGGUUGUAAACCUCUUUCGAGCAGGAACGAUUGUGACGGUACCUGCAGAAGAAGCUCCGGCCAACUACGUGCCAGCAGCCGCGGUGAUACGUAGGGAGCGAGCGUUGUCCGGAUUCAUUGGGCGUAAAGAGCUCGUAGGCGGCUCAGUAAGUCAGGUGUGAAAUCCUCAGGCUCAACCUGGGGCUGCCAUCUGAUACUGCUGUGGCUAGAGCCCGGUAGGGGUCCACGGAAUUCCUGGUGUAGCGGUGAAAUGCGCAGAUAUCAGGAGGAACACCAGUGGCGAAAGCGGUGGACUGGGCCGGUACUGACGCUGAGGAGCGAAAGCGUGGGGAGCGAACAGGAUUAGAUACCCUGGUAGUCCACGCCGUAAACGUUGGGCACUAGGUGUGGGACCUUGUCAACGGGUUCCGUGCCGUAGCUAACGCAUUAAGUGCCCCGCCUGGGGAGUACGGCCGCAAGGCUAAA
RNAcentral lists this ribosomal RNA (868 nucleotides) under uncultured soil bacterium. RNAcentral's name for it is "bacterial SSU rRNA". It matches the Rfam family "Bacterial small subunit ribosomal RNA", at positions 26 to 898 of the family's 1533-position model. The record is from RNAcentral.